AGUGAACGCUGGCGGUAGGCCUAACACAUGCAAGUCGAACGGCAGCACAGUAAGAGCUUGCUCUUACGGGUGGCGAGUGGCGGACGGGUGAGGAAUACAUCGGAAUCUACUUUUUCGUGGGGGAUAACGUAGGGAAACUUACGCUAAUACCGCAUACGACCUACGGGUGAAAGCAGGGGAUCUUCGGACCUUGCGCGAUUGAAUGAGCCGAUGUCGGAUUAGCUAGUUGGCGGGGUAAAGGCCCACCAAGGCGACGAUCCGUAGCUGGUCUGAGAGGAUGAUCAGCCACACUGGAACUGAGACACGGUCCAGACGCCUGCGGGAGGCAGCAGUGGGGAAUAUUGGACAAUGGGCGCAAGCCUGAUCCAGCCAUACCGCGUGGGUGAAGAAGGCCUUCGGGUUGUAAAGCCCUUUUGUUGGGAAAGAAAAGCAGCAGGUUAAUACCCCGCUGUUCUGACGGUACCCAAAGAAUAAGCACCGGCUAACUUCGUG
Molecule: ribosomal RNA, 492 nt
Filed under: uncultured bacterium
Lineage: Bacteria
Description: partial 16S ribosomal RNA
Rfam family: Bacterial small subunit ribosomal RNA
Source: RNAcentral